GUUGGGUAACACUAACUGGAGGACCGAACCGACUAAUGUUGAAAAAUUAGCGGAUGACCUGUGGCUGGGGGUGAAAGGCCAAUCAAACCGGGAGAUAGCUGGUUCUCCCCGAAAGCUAUUUAGGUAGCGCCUCGUGAAUUCAUCUCCGGGGGUAGAGCACUGUUUCGGCUAGGGGGCCAUCCCGGCUUACCAACCCGAUGCAAACUGCGAAUACCGGAGAAUGUUAUCACGGGAGACACACGGCGGGUGCUAACGUCCGUCGUGAAGAGGGAAACAACCCAGACCGCCAGCUAAGGUCCCAAAGUCAUGGUUAAGUGGGAAACGAUGUGGGAAGGCCCAGACAGCCAGGAUGUUGGCUUAGAAGCAGCCAUCAUUUAAAGAAAGCGUAAUAGCUCACUGGUCGAGUCGGCCUGCGCGGAAGAUGUAACGGGGCUAAACCAUGCACCGAAGCUGCGGCAGCGACACUGUGUGUUGU
RNAcentral lists this ribosomal RNA (475 nucleotides) under Salmonella enterica subsp. enterica serovar Enteritidis. RNAcentral's name for it is "partial 23S ribosomal RNA". It matches the Rfam family "Bacterial large subunit ribosomal RNA", at positions 751 to 1224 of the family's 2925-position model. The record is from RNAcentral. Lineage: Bacteria; Pseudomonadati; Pseudomonadota; Gammaproteobacteria; Enterobacterales; Enterobacteriaceae.